GUGUCAGCCGCCGCGGUAAUACGGAGGGAGCGAACGUUGUUCGGAUUUACUGGGCGUAAAGGGUGUGUAGGCGGUCUUGCAAGUCAGGGGUGAAAUCUCUCGGCUCAACCGAGAAACUGCCUUUGAGACUGCAGGACUUGAGGGCGUGAGAGGAGACUGGAAUUCCUAGUGUAGCGGUGAAAUGCAUAGAUAUUAGGAGGAACACCAGUGGCGAAGGCGAGUCUCUGGCACGCAUCUGACGCUGAAACACGAAAGCCAGGGGAGCGAACGGGAUUAGAAACCCUCGUAGUCC
This 292-nucleotide ribosomal RNA is filed under the name uncultured bacterium. RNAcentral's name for it is "partial 16S ribosomal RNA". It matches the Rfam family "Bacterial small subunit ribosomal RNA", at positions 505 to 796 of the family's 1533-position model. The record is from RNAcentral.